RNAcentral lists this ribosomal RNA (259 nucleotides) under uncultured bacterium. Its description in RNAcentral is "partial 16S ribosomal RNA". It matches the Rfam family "Bacterial small subunit ribosomal RNA", at positions 526 to 779 of the family's 1533-position model. The record is from RNAcentral.
CGUAGGUCCCGAGCGUUGUCCGGAUUUUAUUGGGGCGUAAAAGCGAGCGCAGGCGGUUAGAUAAGUCUGAAGUUAAAAGGCUGUGGCUUAACCAUAGUACGCUUUGGAAACUGUUUAACUUGAGUGCAAGAGGGGGAGAGUGGAAUUCCAUGUGUAGCGGUGAAAUGCGUAGAUAUAUGGAGGAACACCGGUGGCGAAAGCGGCUCUCUGGCUUGUAACUGACGCUGAGGCUCGAAAAGCGUGGGGAGCAAACAGGAUU